Molecule: ribosomal RNA, 915 nt
Filed under: Bacillus amyloliquefaciens
Lineage: Bacteria; Bacillati; Bacillota; Bacilli; Caryophanales; Bacillaceae
Description: bacterial SSU rRNA
Rfam family: Bacterial small subunit ribosomal RNA
Source: RNAcentral
UGGGAUAACUCCGGGAAACCGGGGCUAAUACCGGAUGGUUGUUUGAACCGCAUGGUUCAGACAUAAAAGGUGGCUUCGGCUACCACUUACAGAUGGACCCGCGGCGCAUUAGCUAGUUGGUGAGGUAACGGCUCACCAAGGCAACGAUGCGUAGCCGACCUGAGAGGGUGAUCGGCCACACUGGGACUGAGACACGGCCCAGACUCCUACGGGAGGCAGCAGUAGGGAAUCUUCCGCAAUGGACGAAAGUCUGACGGAGCAACGCCGCGUGAGUGAUGAAGGUUUUCGGAUCGUAAAGCUCUGUUGUUAGGGAAGAACAAGUGCCGUUCAAAUAGGGCGGCACCUUGACGGUACCUAACCAGAAAGCCACGGCUAACUACGUGCCAGCAGCCGCGGUAAUACGUAGGUGGCAAGCGUUGUCCGGAAUUAUUGGGCGUAAAGGGCUCGCAGGCGGUUUCUUAAGUCUGAUGUGAAAGCCCCCGGCUCAACCGGGGAGGGUCAUUGGAAACUGGGGAACUUGAGUGCAGAAGAGGAGAGUGGAAUUCCACGUGUAGCGGUGAAAUGCGUAGAGAUGUGGAGGAACACCAGUGGCGAAGGCGACUCUCUGGUCUGUAACUGACGCUGAGGAGCGAAAGCGUGGGGAGCGAACAGGAUUAGAUACCCUGGGUAGUCCACGCCGUAAACGAUGAGUGCUAAGUGUUAGGGGGGUUUCCGCCCCUUAGUGCUGCAGCUAACGCAUUAAGCACUCCGCCUGGGAGUACGGGUCGCAAGACUGAAACUCAAAGGAAAUUGACGGGGGGCCCGCACAAGCGGGUGGAGCAUGUGCUUAAUUUCGAAGCAACGCGAAGGAUCUUUACAGGUCUUGAACAUCCUCUGACAUUCCUAGAGAUAGGACGUUCCCCUUCGGGGGCAGAG